GCGGGGACUUGGCACUCACCACUAGAUAGGUUUGAGUGCUCGCAAGAGAGCCUGGACACAGGUGCUGCAUGGCUGUCGUCAGCUCGUGUCGUGAGAUGUUGGGUUAAGUCCCGCAACGAGCGCAACCCUUGUCAUUAGUUGCUACGCAAGAGCACUCUAAUGAGACCGCCGGUGACAAACCGGAGGAAGGUGGGGAUGACGUCAAGUCCUCAUGGCCCUUAUGGGUAGGGCUACACACGUCAUACAAUGGGCGGUACAGAGGGUUGCCAACCCGCGAGGGGGAGCCAAUCCCUUAAAACCGCUCGUAGUCCGGAUUGUACUCUGCAACUCGACUGCAUGAAGUCGGAAUCGCUAGUAAUCGCGGAUCAGCUUGCCGCGGUGAAUACGUUCCCGGGUCUUGUACACACCGA
RNAcentral lists this ribosomal RNA (410 nucleotides) under uncultured Thiomonas sp. RNAcentral describes it as "bacterial SSU rRNA". It matches the Rfam family "Bacterial small subunit ribosomal RNA", at positions 983 to 1393 of the family's 1533-position model. Lineage: Bacteria; Pseudomonadati; Pseudomonadota; Betaproteobacteria; Burkholderiales. The record is from RNAcentral.